Molecule: long non-coding RNA, 659 nt
Filed under: Triticum aestivum (bread wheat)
Lineage: Eukaryota; Viridiplantae; Streptophyta; Magnoliopsida; Poales; Poaceae
Description: long non-coding RNA (TAES_LNC022287)
Source: RNAcentral
ACUUGCUGCAAGAGAUAUUGAUAUUACAUUCUAACACACUACAGUAUACUCUUUCCAUUUAACAGUAUAUUUCAAUUUCAUUGGGUAACAUUGUUUCACAUACUAAUCCAACCACAAACAUCGAGUGUAUACCAUGAAAUUUUAACCUUCAACCAAUCAGACAGAUAGAGAUAUGAGUAAUUUAAGUAUCUUGUUUAAUAAGGUCAAAAUUUCAACAUUGUUUUAUUUCCCCGGUUCUUUACUUCCGCAGUCCUCGUGCUCAGGAAUCAAGAUUUCCCCAAUCAAUACAUAACAAACACGAUGCUCCCUCCAUCCAUUUUUACAAGGCCCAAGGCUGGUCAUAGUGGGGAGUAACUUAGAGUAGUAACAUGCAUACGUUACUACUCUAUGUUACUACCCUUAUAGUGGGAAGUGUCAUAUGUGUAGUAACAUACACAUGUUCAUUUAUUGUCUUGUAGACUCAUUUUGCAUUGGAAAGCGCUAUGUGAUGGUAACAUAUUAGGUUACUCUAUUUGCCUCUCUCCUCAUUAACUACUUGCCACAUCAACAUUUUUGCUUAUGUGGCAUCUAUGUUACUACCUAUGUUACUCCCACUAUGACCAGCCUAAGUUUUGAAUCUCAUACCAAGGCAAUAGCCCAAAAGUUGAAGCAAAUUAGGC